RNAcentral lists this ribosomal RNA (253 nucleotides) under uncultured bacterium. RNAcentral describes it as "partial 16S ribosomal RNA". It matches the Rfam family "Bacterial small subunit ribosomal RNA", at positions 524 to 776 of the family's 1533-position model. The record is from RNAcentral.
UACAGAGGUCUCAAGCGUUGUUCGGAUUCAUUGGGCGUAAAGGGUGCGUAGGUGGCGUCGUAAGUCGGGUGUGAAAUUUCGGAGCUUAACUCCGAAACUGCAUUCGAUACUGCGGUGCUUGAGGACUGGAGAGGAGACUGGAAUUUACGGUGUAGCAGUGAAAUGCGUAGAGAUCGUAAGGAAGACCAGUGGCGAAGGCGGCAUCCUGGACCGAUACUGACGCUGAGGAGCGAAAGCCAGGGGAGCAAACGGG